This 597-nucleotide ribosomal RNA is filed under the name Triticum aestivum (bread wheat). RNAcentral describes it as "partial small subunit ribosomal RNA". Lineage: Eukaryota; Viridiplantae; Streptophyta; Magnoliopsida; Poales; Poaceae. The record is from RNAcentral.
AUGCAUGUUGUGCUUGACAGGACCUGCAAUGAUUCUUGGGUUUGCAACCUUGGCGGAUCUUUCUCCUCCAAGAGAUACUAUGAUCACUGUUUCAGGAACACGGUUGCUGACAAGCCUUUUGGGUGGUUGUGGAAGGCUAAGAGUCCAAUCAAAUUCAAAAUGUUUGGCUGGUUAUUGAUGGUUGAUCGACUGAACACUAGAAAUAUGCUGAAACAUCAUCAUUUUAACAUGGCUGGGAACAUAUAUACGUGCAUGCUCUGCCCAAGCCCCCCUGAGGAAACUGUCGAACAUUUAUUCUUCAGUUGCCCGUUCAGCCAACAUUGUUGGGGCAAAGUUGGCAUACUUUGGCCAAGCUCUGGUGAUAGACUAACCCUCAUUCAUGCUGGCAAACAAGGCUGGCGCCGGCCGUUGUUCAUGGACAUUUUCCUGCUGGCGGCUUGGAGUUUAUGGAAGGAGAGAAACAACCUUUAUUUCAGGGGGAUCCCGCAUUCCUUUCAUUCGUGGCUAGCUAGGUUUAAGGAGCUCUUGGCUUUAUUAGUGCACAAUUGUAAGGAGACCCUGCGUCCCUCUCUAGAGAACUACAUACAAAGUUUGUAG